GCCUCCUUAGCUCAGACGGCAGAGCGCUUCCAUGGUAAGGAAGAGGUCGUCGGUUCGAUUCCGACAGGGGGCU
This 73-nucleotide transfer RNA is filed under the name Acidimicrobiaceae bacterium. RNAcentral's name for it is "tRNA-Thr". It matches the Rfam family "tRNA". Rfam says of the family: Transfer RNA (tRNA) molecules are approximately 80 nucleotides in length. Their secondary structure includes four short double-helical elements and three loops (D, anti-codon, and T loops). Lineage: Bacteria; Bacillati; Actinomycetota; Acidimicrobiia; Acidimicrobiales; Acidimicrobiaceae. The record is from RNAcentral.